GAGUUCCACCAUGCAAGUU
RNAcentral lists this microRNA (19 nucleotides) under Drosophila pseudoobscura pseudoobscura. Its description in RNAcentral is "mir-969-RA". The record is from RNAcentral. Lineage: Eukaryota; Metazoa; Arthropoda; Insecta; Diptera; Drosophilidae.